RNAcentral lists this ribosomal RNA (465 nucleotides) under Vreelandella stevensii. RNAcentral's name for it is "partial 16S ribosomal RNA". It matches the Rfam family "Bacterial small subunit ribosomal RNA", at positions 338 to 795 of the family's 1533-position model. The record is from RNAcentral. Lineage: Bacteria; Pseudomonadati; Pseudomonadota; Gammaproteobacteria; Oceanospirillales; Halomonadaceae.
CCUACGUGUGGCAGCAGUGGGGAAUAUUGGACAAUGGGCGAAAGCCUGAUCCAGCCAUGCCGCGUGUGUGAAGAAGGCCUUCGGGUUGUAAAGCACUUUCAGUGGGGAAGAAAGCCUUGGGGCUAAUACCCUCGAGGAAGGACAUCACCCACAGAAGAAGCACCGGCUAACUCCGUGCCAGCAGCCGCGGUAAUACGGAGGGUGCGAGCGUUAAUCGGAAUUACUGGGCGUAAAGCGCGCGUAGGCGGUCUGAUAAGCCGGUUGUGAAAGCCCCGGGCUCAACCUGGGAACGGCAUCCGGACCUGUCAGGCUAGAGUGCAGGAGAGGAAGGUAGAAUUCCCGGUGUAGCGGUGAAAUGCGUAGAGAUCGGGAGGAAUACCAGUGGCGAAGGCGGCCUUCUGGACUGACACUGACGCUGAGGUGCGAAAGCGUGGGUAGCAAACAGGAUUAGAUACCCUAGUAGUC